ACACAUGCAAGUCGGAUGUGCCGCAAGGUGCAUGGCAGACGGGUGAGUAACGCGUGGGGAAUCUACCUCUUUGUGGGGAAUAACGCUCCGAAAGGAGUGGUAAUACCGCAUGAGAUCCAUGGCUGGGAUGCUGUGGAUGAAACCUGGGGACCGCAAGGCCUGGGGCAAGGAGAGGAUCCUGCGUCUGAUUAGCUAGUUGGUGAGGUAAUGGCCCACCAAGGCGACGAUCAGUAGCCGGCCUGAGAGGGUGACCGGCCACACUGGAACUGAGACACGGUCCAGACUCCUACGGGAGGCAGCAGUGGGGAAUUUUGCGCAAUGGGCGAAAGCCUGACGCAGCAACGCCGCGUGGGUGAUGAAGGUCUUCGGAUCGUAAAACCCUGUCGUCGGGGACGAAGGUGGAGGGGUUAAUAGCCUCUUUGCUUGACGGUACCCGGAGAGGAAGCCCCGGCUAACUCUGUGCCAGCAGCCGCGGUAAUACAGAGGGGGCAAGCGUUAUUCGGAAUUAUUGGGCGUAAAGGGCGCGUAGGCGGCUUUUUAAGUGAGAUGUGUAAUCCCUGAGCUCAACUUGGGAACUGCAUCUCAUACUGGGAGGCUAGAGUACUGGAGAGGGUGGUAGAAUUCCACGUGUAGCGGUGAAAUGCGUAGAGAUGUGGAGGAAUACCAGUGGCGAAGGCGGCCACCUGGACAGUAACUGACGCUGAGGCGCGAAAGUGUGGGUAGCAAACAGGAUUAGAUACCCUGGUAGUCCACACUGUAAACGAUGAACAC
Molecule: ribosomal RNA, 771 nt
Filed under: uncultured bacterium
Lineage: Bacteria
Description: bacterial SSU rRNA
Rfam family: Bacterial small subunit ribosomal RNA
Source: RNAcentral